GCCGGGGUGGCGGAAUCGGCAGACGCAGCGGACUUAAAAUCCGCUGGGCGAAAGCCCGUACGGGUUCGAGUCCCGUUCCCGGCA
RNAcentral lists this transfer RNA (84 nucleotides) under Paenalicyclobacillus macrosporangiidus. Its description in RNAcentral is "Alicyclobacillus macrosporangiidus tRNA". It matches the Rfam family "tRNA". Rfam says of the family: Transfer RNA (tRNA) molecules are approximately 80 nucleotides in length. Their secondary structure includes four short double-helical elements and three loops (D, anti-codon, and T loops). Lineage: Bacteria; Bacillati; Bacillota; Bacilli; Caryophanales; Alicyclobacillaceae. The record is from Rfam by way of RNAcentral.